This 463-nucleotide ribosomal RNA is filed under the name uncultured bacterium. RNAcentral describes it as "partial 16S ribosomal RNA". It matches the Rfam family "Bacterial small subunit ribosomal RNA", at positions 28 to 505 of the family's 1533-position model. The record is from RNAcentral.
GACGAACGCUGGCGGCGUGCUUAACACAUGCAAGUCGAACGGAAAGGCCCUGCUUGCAGGGUACUCGAGUGGCGAACGGGUGAGUAACACGUGGGUGAUCUGCCCUGCACUUCGGGAUAAGCCUGGGAAACUGGGUCUAAUACCGGAUAGGAGCCAUUUUUAGUGUGAUGGUUGGAAAGUUUUUUCGGUGUAGGAUGAGCUCGCGGCCUAUCAGCUUGUUGGUGGGGUAAUGGCCUACCAAGGCGGCGACGGGUAGCCGGCCUGAGAGGGUGGACGGCCACAUUGGGACUGAGAUACGGCCCAGACUCCUACGGGAGGCAGCAGUGGGGAAUAUUGCACAAGGGGCGCAAGCCUGAUGCAGCGACGCCGCGUGGGGGAUGACGGCCUUCGGGUUGUAAACUCCUUUCGCUAGGGACGAAGCUUUUUGUGACGGGACCUAGAUAAGAAGCCCCGGCUAACGACG